RNAcentral lists this long non-coding RNA (1589 nucleotides) under Homo sapiens (human). Its description in RNAcentral is "HSALNT0209755". Lineage: Eukaryota; Metazoa; Chordata; Mammalia; Primates; Hominidae. The record is from RNAcentral.
CACAGGCGACCGUGGAGAGGAGAGGCCAGGAUGUGGGAGCACCGCACGGCACAGCCAUUAACUGGCGCGGCUCUGGACUGGAAUAUCGACUGCAGAAACGAGGACGCGCAGCUGGGAGCUCUGGAGGAGCUUGAGACUCCCUCCAGAAACGUGCCAGGCGCGGUGUUGGGAAUCCACCUAGGUGUUCACUCGGGAAAGAUAAGGCUGCGCCGCUUGGAAGGGCUCCACCCGCGUCCCUGCUGUACUUUGUACCCUGGAGAGUUGGCGGGUUCUGGCAGACGAGAGUUUAAAGGCUUGGGCGGGCGGGGACGCCAGCUCUUCUAAAUCCAGGUGAGGAGCUGCCGCCGUGCGAUGACCAGACCUGUCACCAACCCCAGGAACGGCAGGGCGACAUUCGAGUUUUUCCGGGAAGAGCUAGGAUGUCAGCUCUUUCUGAGGCUUGAUUUGUGAGCUGGCUCUGGGUCACGUGCCCAAACCAUUAGGAGAUAUCAAUGUAGGCAAGCCUGAAGCUCACUGACUUCAUUUAAGAAUCAAAACGGUUUUCCCGUAAGAAAGAAUGUAUGUUCCGUUAUCAGGAUUUUAAACGAACCCUGGGACUUACCACCAUUCUUACUCUAGGGUCUCUUUGGCUUUCCAACUGUUCCUGUGGAAGGAAGAAUCACACUCCAUGCAACUUCCCUGUUCCUUUUCAUAAACGUUGCUUUGCUCGGUAAGAUCCCUGCAAGCCUUUAUUUGAAACUAGCCUGUUCACAGGAAGAGUGACCCGCAGCAGCUUAGUGCUCUGCCUCCUUCAAGCUUUGCUGUCUCCAGUUUUUCCUUAGUUUCUCCUUCUCCUCAACCAGGCUGUGCCCGCUGUACUGUAAGUCUCAGUUUUCCUCCUCUCAGUAGAGUUUACUCCAAGGAGAGGCUAAACUCCUCAUGGAGGCUAUCUGUACCGGUCCAGAAUGAAGAAAUGGAUGCAGAAAUUAAAAACAAAAAAGUAUAUUUCCUAAUGCCCUGUUGCUUUAUCCAGGUAAUCACUUACAUAUACUGCAUGUGUUUUAGUUCCCAAAACUAAUUGUCUUGAACAGGAAAGAAUAACUUCUGUAGUGUGUUGAUGAUAGCAAUCAAAGACUAAAAUAAAUGACAGACUUUCAUAGGAAUGUGUGCAAUUAUUAAUGAGGAAUGUGCUAGGAUGGAAUUUGAAAUUUCAUACGGCUGAAACUGUUUUAACCCAUUAUUUUACCUGAACAAAUUGCCUUCUUUAAAGUGGAAUGUACAAUUGGUGUUUAGUUAUAUUUAUUUUUCCUUUACAAAUACAGCACAUAUGGAGAGAAAAUAAAUGUUCAUUAAGUUAAAAGAAAAGAGAGUGGGUAUUGUCCCAGAAUCCCAGAAGAGCAUUUUACUAGCCAAGCCUCAUAUAAUGCCUUAGAUGCCUCUGCCAAUCACUGACUAAAGACACCUGACUAUCUGUACCUCUGGGAGCUUGGAUUUCAACAGUCAUUAUUUAGAUGCCUUGGCUUUGAUCAUGGUUGCUCUUUGGGAAGUGUGUGAUGGGAGUCAGUGAAAAACAGCUCUGUUGUUCAGAAUUUCAUUAAAUUCACUUUCAG